AUCUGGUUGCUUGGGGAGGACUGAUGGAAGAGGGCCACAACUACUUUGAGAGGAGCAAUCUGGACAUCUUCAGCGGCAGGGCGCCUUGCCUGACCUCCCCGUUCUGCGCCUUGAACUUGACCUCUGAUGGAUCAGGGGCCCACCACGGCUGGUACUGCAACUACGUGGAGGCUACCUCCACCGGCGUCCACAGCUCCUGCUCCCAGCAGCUAUUUACCGUCGAGCAGUGGCUCGCUACAGAUACCUCGCCCUACGAGCUUUCAGCGAUCCGUAAUUCAUGUCCAUACGAUUUGGUUACCAAGGAGACUCGUCCGGUGACAGCCGCCGGCCGCAAGUCAGUGGCCUCCUCCUC
Molecule: long non-coding RNA, 352 nt
Filed under: Linum usitatissimum (flax)
Lineage: Eukaryota; Viridiplantae; Streptophyta; Magnoliopsida; Malpighiales; Linaceae
Description: long non-coding RNA (LUSI_LNC003795)
Source: RNAcentral